UACGGAGGAUGCAAGCGUUAUCCGGAAUUAUUGGGCGUAAAGCGUCCGUAGGCGGUUUCAAAAGUCUGUUGUUAAAGCCCACAGCUCAACUGUGGAACGGCAAUGGAAACUGUGAGACUAGAGAGUGGUAGGGGUAGAGGGAAUUCCUAGUGUAGCGGUGAAAUGCGUAGAUAUUAGGAAGAACACCAAUGGCGAAGGCAGUCUACUGGGCCAUUACUGACGCUGAUGUACGAAAGCUAGGGGAGCGAAAAGG
Molecule: ribosomal RNA, 253 nt
Filed under: uncultured bacterium
Lineage: Bacteria
Description: partial 16S ribosomal RNA
Rfam family: Bacterial small subunit ribosomal RNA
Source: RNAcentral